This is a long non-coding RNA of Acinonyx jubatus (cheetah), 759 nucleotides long. RefSeq lists it as uncharacterized. Lineage: Eukaryota; Metazoa; Chordata; Mammalia; Carnivora; Felidae. The transcript has 6 exons. The record is from RefSeq and is a predicted model, not a curated record.
CCAGCGCCCCAGCGUGGACCCUGAGCGCCGUCGGAAAGGCGUUAGCGCCCAGGGGGUCACAACCCAGCUUGCUGGAAGGAAACUUGGGGACAUCUGUAAGGAGAGGAAUAGGAAAGACCCGAGGAGAAGCAGUAAAGGAGGCUCUUACCCUGAGAGAAAAAGGAAGGCACUGGAGGAUUUUGAACAGAGAAGUGAUGUGAUCUAAGGUUUAAAAGAAUAGGUCUGACUGCUGCAUUGUGAAGAGACUGUAUGUGGGGCAAGAGAGGAAGCCAGGAGACCAUAGGAGGUGAGAAAAAGGGCGUUGCGGAUCCUUUGGAGCCAAGGACUGGAACUGCCAUGCAAGACCUCUGCCAACUGAGGGUUUCAUGAGCGCACUGCCUUGCCAAGAUCUUGGUGAAUAGUCUUUCACUGUGCAAUUGUGUCUUAGACAUUGUUUUACUUGUUAUCAUGAUUGUGCUUGGCUGGAUGCUUUUUGUUGGACUUGCAUGUUACAUGGGCACAUUUCCAGAGUUCACGCCUCCAACUCUGAAGUGGAAAGAGAAGUGGCCUGUUCAGGAGAGCAAGACACAACUGAGGAGCCUGGCUUUGGAUGAAGAACCACAACUAUGAGAACCAUGUGGAAAGGAUAUAAGUAUCCCCCAGGAGGGACCCCAGUGGAAAUAAGCAAAGAUGAUCCUGGUGAAGUCAUGCAGCUCUGAAGCUCACCUGGCCUGCUGUAGAGUUCCUGUUGUUGGUUUCGCAUAAAGUAAUUGCACAUUA